GACGAACGCUGGCGGCGUGCUUAACACAUGCAAGUCGAACGGAAAGGCCCUGCUUUUGUGGGGUGCUCGAGUGGCGAACGGGUGAGUAACACGUGAGUAACCUGCCCUUUACUUUGGGAUAACUUCAGGAAACUUGGGCUAAUACCGGAUAGGAUCUCCUGCUGCAUGGUGGGGUUUGGAAAGUUUCGUCGGUUGGGGAUGGACUCGCGGCUUAUCAGCUUGUUGGUGGGGUAGUGGCUUACCAAGGCUUUGACGGGUAGCCGGCAUGAGAGGGUGACCGGCAAAAUUGGGAAUGAGAUACGGCACAGACUACAACGGGAGGCAGCAGGGGGGAAGAGUGCACAAUGGGAGGAAGCAUGAUGAAGAAAAGCAGCGUGCGGGAUGACGGCCUUCGGGUUGUAAACCGAUUUCGAAUGUGAAGAAGAGUGAGUGACGGUAAUGGGUAAAGAAGCACCGGCUAACUACGUG
This 468-nucleotide ribosomal RNA is filed under the name uncultured bacterium. RNAcentral's name for it is "partial 16S ribosomal RNA". It matches the Rfam family "Bacterial small subunit ribosomal RNA", at positions 28 to 507 of the family's 1533-position model. The record is from RNAcentral.